AGGUGACCAGGCGAUCGCGUGCCGAAAGGUAUGAGGAAAGUCCGAGCACCGCAGGGCAGGGUGCCGGCUAACGGCCGGUGGAGGCGACUCCAAGGAGAGUGCAACAGAGAUAUACCGCCCCGGCGGCAAAAGCCCCGGAGUAAGGAUGGAAAGGCGAGGUAAGAGCUCACCCACGGCUUGGCGACUUGUCCGUGCUGUAAACCCCACCCGGUGCAAGAUGGUAUGAGGACACAUGCGGCGGCCCGUCGCGUCCUUGCAAUCGCUCGAGCCUGCGCGGUAACGCCAGGUCUGGAUAGAUGAUCGCCCAAUACAGAACUCGGCUUAUGGGCACGCUCG
RNAcentral lists this RNase P RNA (336 nucleotides) under pig gut metagenome. Its description in RNAcentral is "Bacterial RNase P class A". It matches the Rfam family "Bacterial RNase P class A". Rfam says of the family: Ribonuclease P (RNase P) is a ubiquitous endoribonuclease, found in archaea, bacteria and eukarya as well as chloroplasts and mitochondria. The record is from RNAcentral.